Molecule: long non-coding RNA, 1219 nt
Organism: Mytilus californianus (California mussel)
Lineage: Eukaryota; Metazoa; Mollusca; Bivalvia; Mytilida; Mytilidae
Exons: 3
Source: RefSeq, a predicted model, not a curated record
CUUAGACAGCCUUAAGCGUUUGAGCUAGGGAACUACUUUUUUAGCUCAGUCGGUUAGAGGUCAGCCUUGUAACACAGAGGUCCCGUAGGAGGCAAAGUGAUUUUGCAAUAUAAGUCAUGCUCUACAGUUUCAUUUGGCGCCAAACAAUAAAAACCCUGACACAGUUAGAAGAAUUACCUAGCCAGGGAAGUGUUGAAGAUAUCAUUAUAGUAAAAUGACUCUUGAGUUGGCAGAAUUGUGACGGGAUUGCCUCCCUUUGUAUGUGUAAUAGAUACUUUGCCAGCCGUAAGCGGUUGAGCUAGAGAAGCAAAAAACAUAAAACUAGAUAUGGUAUAAUUCUGCAGCAAAUAUGUCUGUGUCCCUGUUAAAAUGUAUGAACAGAUUGGGGCCAUUACAUUGGUGUGGCUACAAUGGAAUACAAGCUCUAGCAUUGAAUAAAAUCAAGUGGUAUCCAGUUCCGGCAGUUACAGUGGUUCCAGGAAAACAAUAUGUAACUUUAAGCAAUAAAAUUCUAUGUGAAAAAGACAAAAUAUUAGGAAUUCAUUGUAAACAUUUACAUGUAGUACCUGAUGAACCAAGAUCUAAGGGUCGCCAAGAAAAAGACAAGGUACCACAUGACUUUGUUUUCAUAUUUCAAAGCUCUUAUGAAAAUUUUAUAAAACUAAUUGGACUUCUUGUACCAUUAAUGUCACUUAUAGCAGGUACAACAAUUUUUGAGAUUCAAAGUCGAUUUACUGAUCCAGAAAAAGAAAAAGUACACAUUGACAAAAGUAAAAUUCCAUUCAUUAUUGGAGGUUCAGCUUUCGCCAUUAUUCUGAUUACUUGCCUUACUAAAAUCUACAGAUUUACAAUGAUCAGAAUGUAUAAGCAUAUAGAUUCUGACUUGUUUAUUGGUGUUGUUCCAAGAUGGUUCCUUUGGACAAAGAACUUUACAUUUCGACCCUCAGAUAUAAAACGUUUCCCACCUUCAGGUUAUAUACGCUUUGUUAGAGGAGAUAUACAGAUUAAAAGAAGACCUUUUGUUUUAGACUUUGGUGAAUUUGGACUACCAAAAUAUUAUAAUGAGAUACUAGGAUAUGAUGUGGAGGCUAGUGGUAGACAAUUUGAGGAAGAUUUGAUGAUAGAGAAAUUUAAAAGGAAAAAAUAAACUUAUUUAACAUGAAAGUCUUAUGAUUUUUGUUUUGUCUGAAUGUGAUUAAAACAUGGAAUAGGAAAUGUA